ACGGCAGCACGGGAGCAAUCCUGGUGGCGAGUGGCGAACGGGUGAGUAAUAUAUCGGAACGUGCCCAGUCGUGGGGGAUAACGCAGCGAAAGCUGUGCUAAUACCGCAUACGAUCUACGGAUGAAAGCGGGGGAUCGCAAGACCUCGCGCGAUUGGAGCGGCCGAUAUCAGAUUAGCUAGUUGGUGGGGUAAAAGCCCACCAAGGCGACGAUCUGUAGCUGGUCUGAGAGGACGACCAGCCACACUGGAACUGAGACACGGUCCAGACUCCUACGGGAGGCAGCAGUGGGGAAUUUUGGACAAUGGGCGCAAGCCUGAUCCAGCAAUGCCGCGUGCAGGAUGAAGGCCUUCGGGUUGUAAACUGCUUUUGUACGGAGCGAAACGGCUUCCCCAAAUACGGGGAGCUAAUGACGGUACCGUAAGAAUAAGCACCGGCUAACUACGUGCCAGCAGCCGCGGUAAUACGUAGGGUGCGAGCGUUAAUCGGAAUUACUGGGCGUAAAGCGUGCGCAGGCGGUUAUAUAAGACAGAUGUGAAAUCCCCGGGCUCAACCUGGGACCUGCAUUUGUGACUGUAUAGCUAGAGUACGGUAGAGGGGGAUGGAAUUCCGCGUGUAGCAGUGAAAUGCGUAGAUAUGCGGAGGAACACCGAUGGCGAAGGCAAUCCCCUGGACCUGUACUGACGCUCAUGCACGAAAGCGUGGGGAGCAAACAGGAUUAGAUACCCUGGUAGUCCACGCCCUAAACGAUGUCAACUGGUUGUUGGGUCUUCACUGACUCAGUAACGAAGCU
RNAcentral lists this ribosomal RNA (791 nucleotides) under uncultured bacterium. Its description in RNAcentral is "bacterial SSU rRNA". It matches the Rfam family "Bacterial small subunit ribosomal RNA", at positions 66 to 853 of the family's 1533-position model. The record is from RNAcentral.